GUAGUUUGAUCUUGGCUCAGAUUGAACGCUGGCGGCAUGCCUUACACAUGCAAGUCGAACGGCAGCAUGAUCUAGCUUGCUAGAUUGAUGGCGAGUGGCGAACGGGUGAGUAAUACAGUCGGAACGUGCCCUGUAGUGGGGGAUAACUAGUCGAAAGAUUAGCUAAUACCGCAUACGACCUGAGGGUGAAAGUGGGGGACCGCAAGGCCUCAUGCUAUAGGAGCGGCCGAUGUCUGAUUAGCUAGUUGGUGGGGUAAAGGCCCACCAAGGCGACGGAUCAGUAGCUGGUCUGAGAGGACGAUCAGCCACACUGGGACUGAGACACGGCCCAGACUCCUACGGGAGGCAGCAGUGGGGAAUUUUGGACAAUGGGCGAAAGCCUGAUCCAGCAAUGCCGCGUGUGUGAGAAGGCUCGGUGUAAG
Molecule: ribosomal RNA, 422 nt
Filed under: uncultured microorganism
Description: bacterial SSU rRNA
Rfam family: Bacterial small subunit ribosomal RNA
Source: RNAcentral